Molecule: ribosomal RNA, 253 nt
Filed under: uncultured bacterium
Lineage: Bacteria
Description: partial 16S ribosomal RNA
Rfam family: Bacterial small subunit ribosomal RNA
Source: RNAcentral
UACGUAGGUGGCAAGCGUUAUCCGGAUUUACUGGGUGUAAAGGGAGCGUAGACGGCCUUGCAAGUCUGGUGUGAAAGCCCGGGGCUCAACCCCGGGACUGCAUUGGAAACUGCAUGGCUGGAGUGCAGGAGAGGUAAGCGGAAUUCCUAGUGUAGCGGUGAAAUGCGUAGAUAUUAGGAGGAACACCAGUGGCGAAGGCGGCUUACUGGACUGUAACUGACGUUGAGGCUCGAAAGCGUGGGGAGCAAACAGG